UUCCUACGGGGGGCAGCAGUGGGGAAUAUUGCACAAUGGGGGAAACCCUGAUGCAGCGACGCCGCGUGAGUGAAGAAGUAUUUCGGUACGUAAAGCUCUAUCAGCAGGGAAGAAAAUGACGGUACCUGACCAAGAAGCCCCGGCUAACUACGUGCCAGCAGCCGCGGUAAUACGUAGGGGGCAAGCGUUAUCCGGGUUUACUGGGUGUAAAGGGAGCGUAGACGGCAGCGCAAGUCUGGAGUGAAAUGCCGGCGCUCAACCCCGGAACUGCUUUGGAGACUG
RNAcentral lists this ribosomal RNA (282 nucleotides) under uncultured bacterium. RNAcentral's name for it is "partial 16S ribosomal RNA". It matches the Rfam family "Bacterial small subunit ribosomal RNA", at positions 336 to 635 of the family's 1533-position model. The record is from RNAcentral.